CAGGCUGGAGUGCAGUGGUGCGAUCUUGGCUCACUGCAAGUUCCGCCUCCCGGGUUCAUGCCAUUCUCCUGCCUCAGCCUCCCGAGUAGCUGGGACUAUAGGCACCCGCCACCACGCCUGGCUAAUUUUUUGUAUUUUUAGUAGAGACGGGGUUUCACCAUGUUAGCCAGGAUGGUCUCGAUCUCCUGACCUCGUGAUCCGCCCGCCUUGGCCUCCCAAAGUGCUGGGAUUACAGGCGUGAGCCACCGCGCCCGGCCGAGUGUCAAUGUUUUAAGUAGAGAUGCGGGUCUUGUUACAUUGACCAAGCUAGUGGGUUUUUUUGUUUUGUUUUGUUUUGUUUUGUUUUGUUUUGAGACAGAGUCUCACUUUGUCACCCAGGCUGGAGUGCAGUGGCAUGACCUCGGCUCACUGCAACCUCUGCCUCCCAGGUUCAACUGAUUCUCUUGCAUCAGCCUCCUGAGUAGCUGGGACUAUAGGUGUGUGCCACCAUGCCCGGCUAAUUUUGAUAUUUGUCUUAGAGACAGGGUUUCACCACAUUGGCCAUGCUCAUCUUGAACUCCUGACCUCAGUCGAUCCGCCCACCUCAGCCUCCUGAAGUGCUAGGAUUACAUACAUAAGCCACCACGCCUGCCACCAAUCUGGUUUUGAACCCCCAGCCUCAAGUGAUCCUCCCACUUCAGCCUUCCAAAGUGCUGGUAUUACAGGCAUGGGCGACCACACCUGGCCUCAGCUGUUCAAUUAAAAGUAAAUAAAACUUAAAAUUCUACGUUUCAUUGGCAGUAGUACGGUGUUAAUACAGAGUAGCCACAUGUGGUUAGUGGCUACAGUAUUGGACAGUGCAGGUAUAGAAUACUUCUAUCAACAUAGAAAAUUCUAUCAGUCUAGCUCUAGGGGCAGAUAGUCCUUCUACUGACUUGGGCAAGUCACUCCACAAAUGGCAUCUACCUCACAUGGUUAUGGUGAGAAUUCAGCGUGUGUAUGUAUAUGCAUGCAUACACACACAUAACAGUGCACCGUUUCCUGAAAAGCCUGACACAGGGAGCUCAGACAUGAGUGCCACCCACCCCUGGGCAGCACCAAGAUGGCUCUAGUCCGGGCGCCUUUGUCUCACCCCCAUGCCUUUGCUCGGAGUGUGCUCCUCAUUUUUCUGCCACUUUGACCCUGUCUCUGAUUUGGUCCUGUCUGACAUCACUGCUAUAUGCUUUGCUGCUCUCAAUUUCCUCUGCCCUCAUGCCAGCAGGAGUCAUGCCAGAGAUCAUAUCUGAGAAAGCAAGACAAUUUUGUGUGUGUGUGUCUGUGCCCAUAGAGGAGUGCUGGUUGUGUUGAUAUAGUUGUAGAUUGGUUGUGUUUACAUCGUUGUAUAUAUUGACAUGCUUGAGUGUUAUGACUUCUUUUGGGGGUGGUCGCCUUUUAAAUCAUGACUUUUGAUGGGAUUGAAUUUUAGUCUUUGUGAAGACAUAAGUAGGCAUCUGUCUCUGGGAGCAUCCAAGCAGAAAAGACUAAGACUCCCUUGUAGACAGAUCACUGGCCUCCAUUGGAGUGUGUCUGCAUGGCACCACAGGGCUGGAAGACCCUUGGAGGCAGGAAUUCAAGGAAAUGUAUGAUGAAUUUUGGCACUGCCAUCAGAAGCAGAACAGGCAUGGAAAACUUGGGUGAGUGGACGAGACAACCUCAUCACUACAGCAGAGUUCCAUACAUUCCUGAACAAUGAUGGAGGGAUUUGUGUCCACUGCAGUGGGGAACCAUGAAGGACACAUCAAGGGUGUGGUUGGCCUAUGGUGCUCUUUGGAGGAAUGAAUAAAAAUGAAUAGAAAUCC
Macaca fascicularis (crab-eating macaque) is the source of this 1817-nucleotide long non-coding RNA. The record is from Ensembl. NCBI's taxonomy places the organism in Eukaryota, Metazoa, Chordata, Mammalia, Primates, Cercopithecidae.